Rosa rugosa (rugosa rose) is the source of this 1162-nucleotide long non-coding RNA. RefSeq lists it as uncharacterized. The transcript has 2 exons. NCBI's taxonomy places the organism in Eukaryota, Viridiplantae, Streptophyta, Magnoliopsida, Rosales, Rosaceae. The record is from RefSeq and is a predicted model, not a curated record.
GGAAAUCCUGUUCGAAAGAGGAAAUUGUGUGAAGCAAAACUCUGAAGCCCAUUGAGAUGUUGAUAGGAGCAUUUUAAAGUGGUACAUUGGAGUAAAUGAUGGUGAAAUGAGCAUUAGGUCCACACUUACCUAUAAAUGGUGGAGAAAAAUGGAAAUGUACUAAAAUGUCAAUUUUACACAUUUUCCUACUCCGGCUAGGAGAAACCAAGCCAAGCAAGGAAGAAGGAGCGGCCGCCUGACCAAAUGAACUCUAAAUGAGCUGAAACUUUCCAGAUCCAUUCUAGACAUCCUAAGGAUCAUUUCUUAUGAAGAGUGCCAGAGCUAGUUUUGAGUGGAAGGCCUUCAAACAGUCAGCCCAAUUUCCUGCAGAAGCAAAACUGGAAAACUGGACCCGUAAGGAGUCCAGCAGAGAUUCUGGCCCAAAGGCAUGGAAAUAAAUUCUGAAAUUUUACCAAAAUGAUCUACACUCAUGGUAGAUCAUUUCAUAUGAAGAAGUCACGAGCCAAAUCUGAAGUCCUGUUGGAGAAGUAAUUGAAGGAAUAAAGGUGCAGAAACUGAUCUAAAAACAGCUCAACACCACAUGUUCAAGUUUCCUACCCACAUGAAGAAAGCUAGAUGCUUUUCUCUUUUUCCUUGGAUAUAUUUUUCUGCUCCAAUAGAUCAUCAUCACUUCCAUACUUCUGCACCUUCAUGCCUUGCUUUCAUUUCAUCAUUACUCCAUCUUUUCCAUAUUUUACAAACCACUUUCAUUAUUUUUCUUCCAUUUAUCAUUUCACUCUUCUUUUUCUUCCCUAUAUAAACACCUUCUCCUCUCAUUCUAAGGACAUUCCUUCAUCCAUUCCAUCUUCUUUGUCUCUCCAUUUCCUUUCCAUUUUCCUUUCCAACAUCCUCUAGGGCAAGCCACGAAGUUCAAGCAAGGCCAAGGAAGAGAAGAACCAAGCCGUGAGCAUCAUCAUCCAUCCUCCACCUUUGAAGCUUGCUUUCGAGUCUCAAAGGAUUCAACGUUAUUCACCCAUCUUCAUCUUCCAUCCACGGUGUAAUUCGACCUCUACUUUGUAACCUUUGCUUUGUAUUUCGUUGGUUUUGCCUUAGUUGACAUAUAUGUUUGAACAAUUGUUAAUUUCUGGAAUUUUAUGAUUAAUUGAGAAUUUUCAGAUUCAUA